RNAcentral lists this long non-coding RNA (419 nucleotides) under Linum usitatissimum (flax). RNAcentral describes it as "long non-coding RNA (LUSI_LNC001518)". The record is from RNAcentral. Lineage: Eukaryota; Viridiplantae; Streptophyta; Magnoliopsida; Malpighiales; Linaceae.
UCCGAAUUCGCUAUUAUUGGUAAUUUCCAUUUUUUUAAACUCUCAAAAUCCCUCCAAGCAAUUAAAAAGGGGUUUAGGAAUAUGAAUGAAAGAGACCACAAAGGAUGAUUCUUGGACAAAUAGCUAGUCGCCGAAGAACAGGACAAUCCGAAUCAAUAAAGAAAACAUGCAUGGAUGCAAUUUGAUCAAUUUAAAAGUUUAUCAAUUUGUGAAACUUACGUGUAAGUUCCGUCGGCCAGCUCGAUCAACGCCGCAACGGCGGCACGCCGGCGGGAAUCAACUUCAGAACCAACCAUAUCAACCAAUACCGGGAUAACUCCAAGCUCGGCGAUCAGUUUCCUCGUCUUCACAUCCUCCUUAGCAAACCUAGCAAUAUCAACAGCCGCCGAUUCCUUCUCUUCCCAGCUCUUCCCGAAAUG